RNAcentral lists this ribosomal RNA (496 nucleotides) under uncultured bacterium. RNAcentral's name for it is "partial 16S ribosomal RNA". It matches the Rfam family "Bacterial small subunit ribosomal RNA", at positions 29 to 507 of the family's 1533-position model. The record is from RNAcentral.
ACGAACGCUGGCGGCGUGCCUAAUACAUGCAAGUUGAGCGCUGAAGGUUGGUACUUGUACCAACUGGAUGAGCAGCGAACGGGUGAGUAACGCGUGGGGAAUCUGCCUUUGAGCGGGGGACAACAUUUGGAAACGAAUGCUAAUACCGCAUAAAAACUUUAAACACAAGUUUUAAGUUUGAAAGAUGCAAUUGCAUCACUCAAAGAUGAUCCCGCGUUGUAUUAGCUAGUUGGUGAGGUAAAGGCUCACCAAGGCGAGGAUACAUAGCCGACCUGAGAGGGUGAUCGGCCACAUUGGGACUGAGACACGGCCCAAACUCCUACGGGAGGCAGCAGUAGGGAAUCUUCGGCAAUGGACGAAAGUCUUACCGAGCAACGCCGCGUGAGUGAAGAAGGGUUUCGGAUCGGAAAACUCUGUUGGUAGAGAAGAACGUUGGUGAGAGUGGAAAGCUCAUCAAGUGACGGUAACUACCCAGAAAGGGACGGCUAACUACGUG